RNAcentral lists this unclassified non-coding RNA (315 nucleotides) under plant metagenome. RNAcentral describes it as "partial contains 5.8S ribosomal RNA, internal transcribed spacer 2, and large subunit ribosomal RNA". The stretch from base 1 to 105 matches the Rfam family "5.8S ribosomal RNA", at positions 50 to 154 of the family's 154-position model. The record is from RNAcentral.
GAACUGCGAUAAGUAAUGUGAAUUGCAGAAUUCAGUGAAUCAUCGAGUCUUUGAACGCACAUUGCGCCCCCUGGCAUUCCGGGGGGCAUGCCUGUCCGAGCGUCAUUGCUGCCCUUCAAGCCCGGCUUGUGUGUUGGGUCGUCGUCCCCUCCGGGGGACGGGCCCGGAAGGCAGCGGCGGCACCGCGUCCGGUCCUCGAGCGUAUGGGGCUUUGUCACCCGCUCGAUAAGGACCGGCCGGGCGCCAGCCGGCGUCUCCAACCUUUUUUUCUCAGGUUGACCUCGGAUCAGGUAGGGAUACCCGCUGAACUUAAGC